AUCAAGUUAUCAGUAAACAUUCCAUUCCACUCCUUUUCAGGCAGUGACAAGCAACUGAAACCACUUGCCCAGGAAUGCAAGGAACCCUUGGAAUUUCAUCCCGCUGAAGCUGUUCCUACACCGGCGGAGGUCAUCAAUUUAGAAGAUAUUAGUAUGAUUUAGACCACCAGGAUUCAGCAGAUGGUGUAAAAAAAGCAGCUUCCAGUCUAUACAUCAUACCAAGAACAAUGGCCGCAUCCACAAUUGAAGCCAUUUGAUAAGGAGGCAGGGAGAGAAAGGGAGAGUAAAGAAGGCUUGAGAGGUCUGGUUGGCUCGAAGGGAAGAUGCAAAAGUUCAGUUGUCAAUGGGGGCCCAAUAGAUCAGCGAGCUAAAGAUUUUUAGCAACCUAGAUGAUGACAGCUUUCCUAGUCACAGGGAAUCGAAGUGCAUUUUCCAUUGAGCUUGGAGGGCUCCUCAACCAUUAGCUCACUUAUUUAAGUGGGUCCUUGGUCGAUGCUUAUGAUGUGAGGCAUGUUUCCUCUCUGUUCUUCAAUUUUACUUUUUGAACUGAUUCGGACUCUAACCAGCCAUUGUUGUUAGCCUGUAUUCUGCAGUUAUGUUUUUGGUGUGAUGGCAUUUCUUCCCUUGAUGAUGUCUGCGGUUGCUCUUCUUGUCAAUGAACAACCUACAUUGGGUUCUGCAACUUUUCUCUGGUUGGCCUAAAUUUCUAGAAAGCUCAAAACAGAAUAUGAUUCAGUUGCGGGAUUCUGUGAGGCAGCCCAAUGUGUUUUUGCCCAAUUAAAUCAUAUUCUUGUGGCAAGCGACACUAGAACAGAUUCCACCAUGUUUUUAUUUACGUAUGUUCCAUUACAAUCAUCUAAGGUCAUUUUAUCCUUUAUUUGUAGGUUGAUGUGCUU
Long non-coding RNA from Macadamia integrifolia, 896 nucleotides. RefSeq lists it as uncharacterized. The record is from RefSeq and is a predicted model, not a curated record. Lineage: Eukaryota; Viridiplantae; Streptophyta; Magnoliopsida; Proteales; Proteaceae. The transcript has 3 exons.